UCAAGGAUGCCGAGGCGGAGUCCAAAGUCCUGAGGAAGAGACUUUGAGAGUCAGAGGGCGAAAGCCGACGGUUCCACCAGAUGUCUCAGAAGAUGCUGCUAAGAAAGAUGGAACUAGAAGAAGAAGUCGAAAACUUAAAGCAAUCUCUCAUAAAGACUGGAACCGAGAGCUCUGAGUCGGAAGAAGCCAAGCUUUCUUAAAGCUUCUUUUAUCUUUUAUUCUUCCAUGUAUUCUUUUUUUUUCUUGUCAUUUUUCUUUUUUGGCCUUCAAGGCUUUGUAAUGUAUACUUCACUAAUGAAAUGAAAAGGAAAUUUUCUAUUACCUUGUCCAUUCU
RNAcentral lists this long non-coding RNA (334 nucleotides) under Elaeis guineensis (African oil palm). Its description in RNAcentral is "long non-coding RNA (EGUI_LNC072915)". The record is from RNAcentral. Lineage: Eukaryota; Viridiplantae; Streptophyta; Magnoliopsida; Arecales; Arecaceae.